ACUCCUUGUGUGAGCCUUUAAGGCAGGUCUAGUGGCAGUGGGGCUGGCUCGGCGGAUCCCUGUCAGUCACUUUGCUCUCGUACUAAGUGUACUUUUGUGCCAUUUAAGCAGCCGAUGGUGUCAUUGGCGUUGAGAGUGCAGCUUCUACAGCUCACACUGAAGGCUUUGGGGACCCAGGAGGGCGCGAGUUGUUUUAAGAUACAUGGCCAUUUGACAUACCCGUGUUAAGUUCAAUCUUGCUACAAAAGAAGGCCAUUUGUACUUCCUGACCCUGAAAGCAAGAACUGUGUCUCUUUAAAUCUACUGAGGAAGAUAUUCCUUCUGGCCCACAGGAUGCCAAAAUGACUCGAUGAUUUAUUUAUGCAGCGCUUGGCAGCCCAUCGUCCAGAUUGUGGCUGAAGCUGAAUUUUAUGAGCCUUCCCCCAAGAAAUAUCUUGAAAGAGCCAGGUUGGUCCAGACCUGCUGGCAAGCCUGCAGCCCCAUCCACCGAUUACCUAAUACACUUGUGACAUCUGCUUUCCUUGUUGUGAGAAAACACAGGGAGGAAGUGUGUGCAGAAGGGGUGAUGCCUGACCUACACACCCGGCAAUACCAGAAGUUUCACUACCUUCCGUUGGUAAACGCUUCAGGGAAGGCUCUGCAACCCUGAACGUGUUUUAUUGUAGAACCUCACUAGGAAACUCAUCAGUAUUUAUUAAAGAUGAAUUAAAAGAAGGAGGAAAAGGAAAAACGGGAUAGUGAAGAGAAUAGAUGAAUGAAAAAGAAGCAAAGGGAAGAGAGGAGGAAGGGACAAAGAGGGCAAGAAAAGAGAAAAGAGAGAUGAGAGACCAGGACUUCCCACCUAACCUUACCAAACUUUUUCAGUUGAGCUUUUAAUGGGAUACUAUUCCCAAGAGGAAAUUCAAAAAGAAAACCACCUUGAAACAUCCUUGCUUUUAAUUGUACUCUUUCAACUGCCAGGAAAUUAAUUAGGUAAGACAAAAAGAAAAUUUUCUACCUUAAUAAAAAGAAGCCAACACCCAGGAACAACUGUCUUUGCUUGAGAACAGUGUUACGUGUACAAAGCUGCCUACAAAGUGUCUCCCGCCUGGCUCAGGCAAGAAACUGGGACAGAAGUCUGUGAUGUUAUACCAGCCUGGGAGUCGUGCAUGGUCAUGUCAGUGUCGAGUGCACCAGGCGACACAGGGACAUGCCAGGCACCGCUCCUCCAGAGAGACUUGCCAGGUAUACAUGUUACCUCUCUCCCUUAGGCUUCACAGACUCGGCGGCCUUCCUCCAACCACCUGUCUCCUUAGGAAGUUUGAGAGAACUUUCUCCUCUGUGAUACAAACAGUAACCAAACAAAGCAGUAAACAAUCCAGUGUGGAAAGCACAUACUAAAGCUAAGAUUUAAUGUCACUGAAAUAAAAUCAUAACAACAAAAAACUCCAAGUACCCUUUCUUUGCAUAAUGUAUUUCAGGUGUCCAGCUACAGAGGCCAAGCCUGUGAUUUACAUCAAGCAAAGAGUCCUGGGAGAAAGAGGAGGAAAGACCGCCUUUGCCUGGGACAAGAUUCCUAUUUGUGUCAAGGAGAGUUAGGGACGAGAUGGUUGAGGCAGAGCAGCUGACUGCAGUCUUUAUCCAGUUUGCAUUGCUUUGGGGAAAGCCUUUUAACUGCAAGCCGGAUUGUCCAGAUGCUGGGCUGUCCGGAUGCUGGAUGGUCCAGAUGCUUUGUCGUGGUUGUUCCCUCUGAGUUUCCUCUGCCUUCUGGCUCCUCUUAGUCACCUUCACAACAGGGCUUUAUCAGGACUCUAGAGCAUCGGGCAAGCUCAGGUCUCACCUCUCCUUUUAAUUCUGCAGGAGUCUAUGCCAUGUACUCCAGCCCUGCAUAGAAUGAGUUCUGGAGUUCACCUGGAGCCCACGGAGAGUGGAUGUGGAACUUUUCUGUAGAACAUAGGAGCCGUCUGUACCGGCACAGCUUCAGCCAGCAAUAAGCAUUACCAGCUCCUGCCAGAGGAGCAAGAGGCAGCCACUGAGCUAUAGAGAUCCACACUCCGUCCCUCGUACAACUGCCGCUGUGACCACCUUCUCCUUUCUGCUUUAUUACGUCUGAGAAGCAUUUCAUAUGAUAACCUUCCCUUUCACUCUGGCCUGGACCCUUAUUGAAAAGGAAGAAGCAGUGGAAGAGAUCAGACAAGCAGUGUUGUUCGAGACACUUCCUAAUUCCCUUAACAAGGGUUAUGAAGUUUCGGCUGGGAAAAAGGACAAGGGGCAGAGACAGUGUUUAUUUACAGAAUGGUUCUAGAAGAGCUGACAGGCUUCGAAUGGCCGUGGGUUGUACGGUUUUGACAUUUAACAAUUUUAUUAACAUCUUUGCUUAUUAUUCACCUUAAUCUUCAGCGUCUGCAGCCAGGAAGGAGUGUGCCCAGCUGACAGCCUGUGUCUCAGGCCCUGCCAGGGGAUGAAUCAAUUAGCAGGAGAAGCCAUGAUGCAAACGUUCUGGGGUCACUUGAGAGGCUGUUUGCCUUUCUGAUAGAGAAAGCACACCAUAAAUACCAUCACACCUCAGGAAAUCAUCCCGGGAGGCCCAGAUGCUAGCACGACGGCUGUCACUGCUGUGGGGACAGAGGGAAUCCUUGGCUCCCUGGGUGGAUUUCCCUCAUGCCGGUCAAUAGAAGAUUUGUAGUGAAAUCAAAAUAUUUUAAAGGAGGACAGUGUGCGGUAACAGAGGCUUGUUUAGCUUUUUUUUUUAAGUACCAGAACCCAUGAUUUAUGACCCACAGUUACAACCAACUUUAUUACAAAAAUGACUUCACCCAUAAUAACCUUAUUCAGGAAUCCUUACAGAAUGAUGUAGUAUCCCCAAAGCAUUAUAAGCUAGCAAAUAUUCACAAACAAUUCCUACUGCUGUCCCUUUUCCCCACCCACUCAGUGGUAGGGUAGGAUUCCCCCCCACCCCUUUUUUUUUUUUUUAACCAGCUGGGAGAAAGAGGUCCCAGACAAGCUUCUAUAUUCUUUUGGUAGACAUUUGCCAGGUCAGGCAUUUCAAAUCACCCAGGACAGAGGCUGCCUCCUAGCUUCGACCUUUAUCUUCCCCAACCAGUGCCCUGGGCAACAGCACAGGGCUCCAUUCACCUUCACUGCCUCCCUGAGCAUCCCUGUCUCCCUCCCUCGUUGGAUACCCAGUAUCUGGGGGUAGCUUCAUGAAGUCCCUCCCCUUUUAAUUGCCAUGGUAACCGACAGCUGCAUUAAAAUGGCCAGGACUUGGGGGGUCCAAGCAAUGUCCCUCGGGUGUGCCUGGAUCUAGGAACUGGUUCUCUAUCUUAUUAAACUCAGGUGUCAGUCCCUAGCAUUUGUGUUAAAUUUACACCCUCCAAGUCGGUCAGUGGGAUUACAUGUCCAUUUGCAUUAAAACAGGUUUCUGUCAUUAAACUGCCAUACAAUGAGCGUCCUUGGGACAAAUUAAUGAGCUCUAAAUAUCAUCAAGUAGAGAAGUUCACUUCACCAAGACAGCCACCGUGGGGUCGGAGGGGGUGGCUGCUCACUGUUCUCACCCAAGAGAACCGUAAGCGCCAGCUAAAGACGGUCUCAUCCUGCUUCUCCAUCGAAAGAUGAGUGUCAUGAUUUAGAGCCCUCUGAGGAGCUGGUGAGUUCUCCCCUAGCCUGGCCCUAGAGCUCGUCUCUUCCUAUUCCUUAUUCCAGACAUGCUGAUAGCAUUGACUUUGUCUGCUCAAAAUCACUGAACAACCAUUGGCUUCCUUCCUAUGUGACAGUGCUUCAGCUUCAUUUCUCUUUCCUUGCUUUCUGAUGUUAAGGACCAUCUGUGUACAGUGUGGCCUGGUAACAGAAUGCACACAACACAGUGACAGGGGUAGCCACAGAGUGGGCCUCUACUCUAAAACACCCUCCAGAGUAUGUGUUAGUAGAGCAGUUGGCCCAUGAGUUGGGUGGGGGCCUAUCCUCUGGAAAACUGGUUUUCCUGGAAGUUCCUUUCCCAGUUGUCUAAAAGGUAUCUGUGUGUGUGUGUGUGUGUGUGUGUGUGUGUGUGUGUGUGUGUGUGUGUGUGUGUACGCACAGGAACACAUGCCCAUGUGCCAUAAUACAUCUGUGGAGGUCAGAGGACAGCUUGAAGAAGUUGGAUCUUGACUUUUACCAUGUGGAUCCUGGGAGCUGAACUCAGCUUGCCGAACUUGGAAGCGGAUACCCGAGCCAUCUUGGAAGCCCCUAGGGGAGACUUCCUUUAAGACUGAAUUCUUUCUGUUCACAAGCAUAGUUAGUGUUUGCCCUCACAAAUACAUAAUAGGUAGAAAUUAUCAGAAACUAAUAAAUAAAGCCCCAAGCUUUCUCUUACAUAGAGCCAAGAGGCUGCUAGAUGAACCUCCUCCACCGCACUCUGAUCUCAUUUCUGUGCGGCCCUAACAGGGGACAGUAAUGUAUGAUUGAGACACUGCUACAUUUAGGAAUGACAAGAUGGGCAUUAUUAAUAGCUUAAUUGACAUUAAGGCAAUUACCCCUACCCUUAUUACAGUUUGUAGAAUUACUCAGAAAAUAUUGGCUGAGCCCUUUCUUUCCCUAGAGCUACCCAAGGAUACAGCAUUUUAUUUCAUGCCAGAUCUCGGCUUUGACAUUAGAUACUUAGCCAUAGAAUGAUUCCAGUAAAUCAUUAUAAAUGCAUUAUAAUAAAGAUGUUAUGAGCUAUCAGAUAUUAACCCCCAACCCCUAAAGAGAGAUAAAUAGUUCAGUUGCUUGGUUCCCACUAUUGUUUCAUCAGAAAUAAGCUUUUGCAAGGAGCAACUGACUAAUGAAUUAUAAAAUGGUGUGCUGAG
RNAcentral lists this long non-coding RNA (4805 nucleotides) under Mus musculus (house mouse). Its description in RNAcentral is "RIKEN cDNA 2600014E21 gene". Lineage: Eukaryota; Metazoa; Chordata; Mammalia; Rodentia; Muridae. The record is from RNAcentral.